CCCUUGAACAUCUUCCCUAUUCUGCCUGACAGUAAUAGGUGCCUGGCGUAUGGUCCCCAGGAGAGAAAAGGAGAAAGAAAAGGAGCCAUUACCUUGAAAAUCCCCCCAUUGGGGUUCCUGUAGCAAGGGAUGAUGGGGGCAUCCCUUGAACAUCUUCCCUAUUCUGCCUGGCAGGAAUAGGUGCCUGGUGUAUGGUCCCAGAGAAAGGGAGCCAUUACCUUGAAAAUCCCCCCAAUGGAGUUCCUGUAGCAAGGGAUGAUGGGGGCAUCCCUUGAACAUCUUCCCUAUUCUGCCUGACAGUAAUAGGUGCCUGGCGUAUGGUCCCAGAGAAAGGGAGCCAUUACCUUGAAAAUCCCCCCAUUGGGGUUCCUGUAGCAAGGGAUGAUGGGGGCAUCCCUUGAACAUCUUCCCUAUUCUGCCUGGCAGGAAUAGGUGCCUGGCGUAUGGUCCCAGAGAAAGGGAGCCAUUACCUUGAAAAUCCCCCCAAUGGGGUUCCUGUAGCAAGGGAUGAUGGGGGCAUCCCUUGAACAUCUUCCCUAUUCUGCCUGACAGUAAUAGGUGCCUGGCGUAUGGUCCCAGAGAAAGGGAGCCAUUACCUUGAAAAUCCCCCCAAUGGAGUUCCUGUAGCAAGGGAUGAUGGGGGCAUCCCUUGAACAUCUUCCCUAUUCUGCCUGACAGUAAUAGGUGCCUGGCGUAUGGUCCCCAGGAGAGAAAAGGACAAAGACAGUGAGAAAGAGAAAGACAGUGAGGAAUUUUCCGCCAGUCUGGGGGACAUUCUACCCAAUUGCAUCCUGGAGCCAUUCUCCCAAGAAGGGGUUCCCAUACUCCACCAAAGGUUAGAGUUUGGUACUUCCCUUGAACUGGAGUCCCGAGUGGGACUUUCCUCGCAGUUCAGAGCGUGGUCAGGUGCCAGAGGGAGGGAUCCCAAUCCAGCCUUAGGAAAAGAAACCUUCCACGGGAGUCUUGGAGAUUGGCGGCCGUCCUAAUGACUUAAGUGGCCGACCCGCGCCCACGUAAAAUUUGUCUAUUAGAGAUAGAGUCAGGAAGGAAUGGAUUAAUUCAUUCUCCAUCACCCUGAGGCUUAAGGUACUGAAUCUCUUCAAGCUGAAUGCCACAAUUUGCCCCAUAGAGUAGCCAUGGGCAGCAAACGUGGAUUCAUACAACCAUCCAAGAAAGUUCCCGAUGGAGCAGUGAAUCUAGAUCCAUCCUUGAAAAAGAGAAAGGCAUAAGGAAGAAAAGGGCACUUACCAGAACUCGAGCUCACAAGCCGAUGAAGCAAGUCCCCGUACGGGC
RNAcentral lists this long non-coding RNA (1293 nucleotides) under Equus caballus (horse). RNAcentral describes it as "lncRNA (ENSECAG00000048064.1)". The stretch from base 906 to 993 matches the Rfam family "mir-9014 microRNA precursor family". The record is from RNAcentral. Lineage: Eukaryota; Metazoa; Chordata; Mammalia; Perissodactyla; Equidae.